UCCUGGCUCCGGGUAGCGAUGAAACUCUUCCCGAUGAGGGGUACCUGCACCAUCCGGACCCUCUCUAAAUGGAGGGCAGCCACGCUCAGCGGGCCAGAAUGGAGGUGAUGCCUGCCGUCCUUGAGGGGUCGAAAGCGUUAGUGUUGGAAUAUUCAGAACAGUACUCAGUGCAUGAUCUGUGCUUGAAAGAUGUCAGCUAUUUGUAUUUUUAUUUUUCAUCUGGUCCAGCCCCUGCCACCAGACAGGACUGAAGCCAGGCAGUGGAGCCUGUUCUUAGAGGCUGAAUCUGGAGUUUUCCUCACAAGUGAUUCCAGAAAGGAGAGUCCCCCCUCUUGGACCACUGUUGUGAGAUCUAAGAUUAUGAAGGCUCAGAUGAGUUCUUUGUGUCCCAGUUUCGUCUUUUGUGAAACAGAGCUGCUUAUGCCUACCAUGCAGGGCUGCCAGGAGGAUGAAGAGGGAUAAAGGUGCAAAAGUCCUGCUGUGUGGCUCUUACCUCCAUCACUGACACCCUCAGUGGACUAACAGAUCCCUACUAUCCUGAAAGUCUCCAGCAAACCAGAGCGCUUGUUGAGCACCUGCUCUAUGUGGGCAUCAUGCCAGCCUCUGGGACUGGAGGCAGAAGACAAACCUGGAACUGCCUGCUCUCAAGAGCAGAGGUGCAAACCCCACAUGCAUUAAACCAAAACAGUGGCUCCAACCUCCGGGAUAUGAUGAAUCCUUCCCAGGGAGUAAUAAAUCUACAGCUGAGUGGUGAGAUACAGAUCCAAGCUCCAGAGGAGUUGAAGAACAAGAAAGGAGCUUCUGAGAAAUGGGUGGCACAGUGUCACUGAGGGGCUGGCACUGGCCCAGCCGUUUUGACUUGGAAGUGCACUUUGGGGUCUAACCUGAAUCUUUCCUGCUGCAAAAGGAUACUAUUUUCUCCUGAUCCCAUCAUCCCAAUGAUGGCUAUUAUGAAUUAGAAGCCGAGUGGACAAAUGUAAGAGGAGCAGAAAAGAUUCAUAGCCUGCGAUGAUUGACUCUGCUUUUAACCAAGUUGCGUAGAAGCAACGAGUGUCACUUCCAGGAAGAUGGAUGAUGUCUCUGCAGCGGGGGAUGAGAGCCCAGAGGUUUGCAACUUCCCUGGUAAAAGUUUGUUCUUGUUUAGA
Cercocebus atys (sooty mangabey) is the source of this 1145-nucleotide long non-coding RNA. RefSeq lists it as uncharacterized. The record is from RefSeq and is a predicted model, not a curated record. The transcript is spliced from 3 exons. Lineage: Eukaryota; Metazoa; Chordata; Mammalia; Primates; Cercopithecidae.